UGGGGAAUUUUGCGCAAUGGGGGAAACCCUGACGCAGCAACGCCGCGUGGAGGAUGAAGUCCCUUGGGACGUAAACUCCUUUCGAUCGGGACGAUUAUGACGGUACCGGAAGAAGAAGCCCCGGCUAACUUCGUGCCAGCAGCCGCGGUAAUACGAGGGGGGCCAGCGUUGCUCGGAAUUACUGGGCGUAAAGGGUCCGUAGGCGGUGUGGCAAGUCGGGAGUGAAAUCUCUGGGCUUAACCCAGAGGCUGCUUCCGAAACUGCCAUGCUAGAGUGUGAGAGAGGCGAGUGGAAUUACGGGUGUAGCGGUGAAAUGCGUAGAUAUCCGUAGGAACAUCCGAGGCGAAGGCGGCUCGCUGGAUCACAACUGACGCUGAGGGACGAAAGCUAGGGGAGCAAACAGGAUUAGAUACCCUGGUAGUCCUAGCCCUAAACCAUCAGGACUUGGGGUGUGCCCUGUACGGGGCACGUCCCGUAGCUAACGCGUUAAGUCCUGCGCCUGGGGAGUACGGUCGCAAGGCUG
RNAcentral lists this ribosomal RNA (523 nucleotides) under uncultured bacterium. Its description in RNAcentral is "bacterial SSU rRNA". It matches the Rfam family "Bacterial small subunit ribosomal RNA", at positions 355 to 896 of the family's 1533-position model. The record is from RNAcentral.